RNAcentral lists this ribosomal RNA (748 nucleotides) under Acarospora muddii. Its description in RNAcentral is "partial large subunit ribosomal RNA". It matches the Rfam family "Eukaryotic large subunit ribosomal RNA", at positions 151 to 919 of the family's 3401-position model. Lineage: Eukaryota; Fungi; Ascomycota; Lecanoromycetes; Acarosporales; Acarosporaceae. The record is from RNAcentral.
GCAGAGGAUGCUUCGGGUUCGGCUCCGGUCUAAGUUCCUUGGAACAGGACGUCAUAGAGGGUGAGAAUCCCGUAUGUGACUGGCCGCCACGCCCGUGUGAAGCUCCUUCGACGAGUCGAGUUGUUUGGGAAUGCAGCUCAAAAUGGGUGGUAAAUUUCAUCUAAAGCUAAAUAUUGGCCAGAGACCGAUAGCGCACAAGUAGAGUGAUCGAAAGAUGAAAAGCACUUUGGAAAGAGAGUCAAACAGUACGUGAAAUUGUUGAAAGGGAAGCGCUUGCAACCAGACUUGCCCGCGGGUGAUCAGCCGGUAUUCUUACCGGUGCACUCGCCCGUGGUCAGGCCAGCAUCGGUUCGGGCGGCUGGAUAAAGUCCACUGGAAUGUAGCUCCUCUCGGGGAGUGUUAUAGCCAGAGGUGCCAUGCAGCCCGCCCGGACCGAGGACCGCGCUUCGGCUAGGAUGCUGGCGUAAUGGUUGUAAGCGACCCGUCUUGAAACACGGACCAAGGAGUCUAACAUCUAUGCGAGUGUUUGGGUGUCAAACCCAUGCGCGUAAUGAAAGUGAACGGAGGUGGGAACCCUCAAGGGUGCACCAUCGACCGAUCCUGAUGUCUUCGGAUGGAUUUGAGUAAGAGCAUAGCUGUUGGGACCCGAAAGAUGGUGAACUAUGCCUGAAUAGGGUGAAGCCAGAGGAAACUCUGGUGGAGCUCGCAGCGGUUCUGACGUGCAAAUCGAUCGUCAAAUUUGGGUAUA